GUCUAUGGCCAUGCUACCCUGAACAAGCCCGAUCCCAUCUGAUCUCGGAAGCUAAGCAGGGUCAGGUCUGGUUAGUAUUUGGAUGGGAGACCGCCUAGGAAGACCAGGUGCUGUAGGUG
RNAcentral lists this ribosomal RNA (119 nucleotides) under Pteropus alecto (black flying fox). Lineage: Eukaryota; Metazoa; Chordata; Mammalia; Chiroptera; Pteropodidae. The record is from RNAcentral.